ACACCGUCCUGGCCUCCACCUCCGUAAACUACACAAAAGGAACAGACGAUAUUAACGGAAUUGAAUCGAUGCUGCUGCUUGGACACACAGAUCUGUCAUUUGGUGACAAUGUGGACACAAGAGAAAUUCACAUUACACACGACAGUAUCGCAGUAAUCGUUUCAAUAACAAAAUAACGUCCUUGUUUAUUACAAGCAGUGUUUGUGAGGAGGUUGUUAUAGCCGCUACAAAUCAUAUUUUUGCCUACAAAUCAUAUGUCUGGCACAUUUAUUUCAUUCGAGAAAUAAGAGGGGAAAAAAAAGAAUCCGCAGAGAAACAUGAAUGUAACUCACCUCGUCAAUUCCUCAUAAAGUCAUAUUCUACUGUGAAACCCAGUCAUCACGUCUCAGUGGCUGUCUAUUUCAAAAAGCUAUUAAUAAAUUGCCCUCCUAAUA
Solea senegalensis (Senegalese sole) is the source of this 434-nucleotide long non-coding RNA. RefSeq lists it as uncharacterized. NCBI's taxonomy places the organism in Eukaryota, Metazoa, Chordata, Actinopteri, Pleuronectiformes, Soleidae. The record is from RefSeq and is a predicted model, not a curated record. The transcript has 2 exons.